UUCUUCGGGGCAGGGUGAAAUUCCCGACUGGCGGUAUAGUCCGCGACCUGUAUACAUUAUGUAUAUUAUAUAUUUUUUAUGGUAUACAUUAUGCACACAGCUGAUUUGGUGAAACUCCAAAACCAACAGUAAAGUCUGGAUGAAAGAAGAUG
Molecule: non-coding RNA, 152 nt
Filed under: pig gut metagenome
Description: FMN riboswitch (RFN element)
Rfam family: FMN riboswitch aptamer (RFN element)
About the family: The RFN element is a highly conserved domain that is found frequently in the 5'-untranslated regions of prokaryotic mRNAs that encode for flavin mononucleotide (FMN) biosynthesis and transport proteins. This element is a metabolite-dependent riboswitch that directly binds FMN in the absence of proteins.
Source: RNAcentral